UUAAAGAUAAGCUAAUUUAAGCUUAAAGGUUCAUACCCUUUAUAUAGAUACUUCACUCUUCUUUAAA
RNAcentral lists this transfer RNA (67 nucleotides) under Parevania sp. ZJUH_2016024. RNAcentral describes it as "tRNA-Met". Lineage: Eukaryota; Metazoa; Arthropoda; Insecta; Hymenoptera; Evaniidae. The record is from RNAcentral.